Molecule: ribosomal RNA, 231 nt
Filed under: uncultured Staphylococcus sp.
Lineage: Bacteria; Bacillati; Bacillota; Bacilli; Caryophanales; Staphylococcaceae
Description: partial 16S ribosomal RNA
Rfam family: Bacterial small subunit ribosomal RNA
Source: RNAcentral
AGUAACACGUGGAUAACCUACCUAUAAGACUGUGAUAACUUCGGGAAACUGUAGCUAAUACCGGAUAAUAUAUUGAACCGCAUGGUUCAAUAGUGAAAGACGGUUUUGCUGUCACUUAUAGAUGGAUCCGCGCCGCAUUAGCUAGUUGGUAAGGUAACGGCUUACCAAGGCAACGAUGCGUAGCCGACCUGAGAGGGUGAUCGGCCACACUGGAACUGAGACACGGUCCAG